AGACUUCUGACAGGGAUCCAGCACCAGGGACAUGGCGUGAGCAAACUGUGUGGGGGAAUUCUGAGCCCCCUGAGGCAUAACAGUCCAGGUGUAUUGCUGUCCUUCAUGGGUAAAGGCAAAGAGAAAACGACAGGAAGGGUCAAGGGGGACACUGAAGAAGGCAUUAGCUAGAUCCACCACGGUGAAUAUUGUUGAAGUAGGUGGGACUUGGGAUAAGAG
Molecule: long non-coding RNA, 219 nt
Filed under: Pelobates cultripes (western spadefoot toad)
Lineage: Eukaryota; Metazoa; Chordata; Amphibia; Anura; Pelobatidae
Source: RNAcentral